AUUGAACGCUGGCGGCAUGCCUUACACAUGCAAGUCGAACGGCAGCACGGGUGCUUGCACCUGGUGGCGAGUGGCGAACGGGUGAGUAAUACAUCGGAACGUACCUUAUCGUGGGGGAUAACGCAGUGAAAGCUGUGCUAAUACCGCAUACGCCCUGAGGGGGAAAGCGGGGGAUCGAAAGACCUCGCGCGAUUAGAGCGGCCGAUGCCUGAUUAGCUUGUUGGUGGGGUAAAGCCCACCAAGGCGACGAUCAGUAGCUGGUCUGAGAGGACGAUCAGCCACACUGGGACUGAGACACGGCCCAGACUCCUACGGGAGGCAGCAGUGGGGAAUUUUGGACAAUGGGGGCAACCCUGAUCCAGCAAUGCCGCGUGAGUGAAGAAGGCCUUCGGGUUGUAAAGCUCUUUUGUCAGGGAAGAAACACCGGCUCUAACACAGUCCGGGAAUGACGGUACCUGAAGAAUAAGCACCGGCUAACUACGUGCCAGCAGCCGCGGUAA
Molecule: ribosomal RNA, 500 nt
Filed under: uncultured bacterium
Lineage: Bacteria
Description: partial 16S ribosomal RNA
Rfam family: Bacterial small subunit ribosomal RNA
Source: RNAcentral